This 446-nucleotide ribosomal RNA is filed under the name uncultured bacterium. RNAcentral describes it as "bacterial SSU rRNA". It matches the Rfam family "Bacterial small subunit ribosomal RNA", at positions 329 to 792 of the family's 1533-position model. The record is from RNAcentral.
GACCAGACUCCUACGGGAGGCAGCAGUGGGGAAUAUUGCACAAUGGGGGAAACCCUGAUGCAGCGACGCCGCGUGAGUGAAGAAGUAUUUCGGUAUGUAAAGCUCCAUCAGCAGGGAAGAAAAUGACGGUACCUGACUAAGAAGCCCCGGCUAACUACGUGCCAGCAGCCGCGGUAAUACGUAGGGGGCAAGCGUUAUCCGGAUUUACUGGGUGUAAAGGGAGCGUAGACGGCAUGGCAAGUCAGAUGUGAAAGCCCGGGGCUCAACCCCGGGACUGCAUUUGAAACUGUCAGGCUGGAGUGCAGGAGAGGUAAGUGGAAUUCCUAGUGUAGCGGUGAAAUGCGUAGAUAUUAGGAGGAACACCAGUGGCGAAGGCGGCUUACUGGACUGUAACUGACGUUGAGGCUCGAAAGCGUGGGGAGCAAACAGGAUUAGAUACCCCCGUA